UGAUUAUGGCUCAGAAUCAACGCUGGCGGCGUGCCUCAGACAUGCAAGUCGAACGAUUAAGACUUCCUUCGGGAAGUGCAUAAAGUGGCGCACGGGUGAGUAACACGUAAGUAAUCUACCCUCGAGUGGGGAAUAACGUUCGGAAACGGACGCUAAUACCGCAUAACGCAGCGGCACCGCAAGGUGACAGUUGUUAAAGGAGCAAUCCGCUUGAGGAGGAGCUUGCGGCAGAUUAGCUAGUUGGUAGGGUAAUGGCUUACCAAGGCUACGAUCUGUAUCCGGUCUAAGAGGACGGUCGGACACACUGACACUGAAUAACGGGUCAGACUCCUACGGGAGGCAGCAGUCGGGAAUUUUGGGCAAUGGGCGAAAGCCUGACCCAGCAACGCCGCGUGAAGGAUGAAGUAUUUCGGUAUGUAAACUUCGAAAGAAUAGGAAGAAUAAAUGACGGUACUAUUUAUAAGCUCCGGCUAACUACGUGCCAGCAGCCGCGGUAAUACGUAGGGAGCAAGCGUUGUUCGGAUUUACUGGGCGUAAAGGGCGCGUAGGCGGCGCGGUAAGUCACUUGUGAAAUCUCUGAGCUUAACUCAGAACGGCCAAGUGAUACUGCAGUGCUAGAGUGCAGAAAGGGCAAUCGGAAUUCUUGGUGUAGCGGUGAAAUGCGUAGAUAUCAAGAGGAACACCUGAGGCGAAAGCGGGUUGCUAGGCUGACACUGACGCUGAGGCGCGAAAGCCAGGGGAGCAAACGGGAUUAGAUACCCCGGUAGUCCUGGCCCUAAACGAUGAAUACUUGGUGUCUGGAGUUUCAAUACUCCGGGUGCCGUCGCUAACGUUUUAAGUAUUCCGCCUGGGGAGUACGCUCGCAAGAGUGAAACUCAAAGGA
Molecule: ribosomal RNA, 883 nt
Filed under: uncultured bacterium
Lineage: Bacteria
Description: bacterial SSU rRNA
Rfam family: Bacterial small subunit ribosomal RNA
Source: RNAcentral